RNAcentral lists this ribosomal RNA (254 nucleotides) under uncultured bacterium. Its description in RNAcentral is "partial 16S ribosomal RNA". It matches the Rfam family "Bacterial small subunit ribosomal RNA", at positions 524 to 776 of the family's 1533-position model. The record is from RNAcentral.
UACGUAGGGAGCGAGCGUUGUCCGGAUUCAUUGGGCGUAAAGAGCUCGUAGGCGGCUUGGUAAGUCGGAUGUGAAACCUCCAGGCUCAACCUGGAGUCGCCAUCCGAUACUGCCAUGGCUAGAGUCCGGUAGGGGCCCACGGAAUUCCUGGUGUAGCGGUGAAAUGCGCAGAUAUCAGGAGGAACACCUGUGGCGAAGGCGGUGGCCUGGACCGGUGCUGACGCUGAGGCGCGAAGGCAUGGGGAGCGAUCCGG